UAGAGUUUGAUCCUGGCUCAGGAUGAACGCUGGCGGCGUGCUUAACACAUGCAAGUCGAACGAUGAUCCCAGCUUGCUGGGGGAUUAGUGGCGAACGGGUGAGUAACACGUGAGUAACCUGCCCUUGACUCUGGGAUAAGCCUGGGAAACUGGGUCUAAUACCGGAUACGACCAUCUGGCGCAUGUCAUGGUGGUGGAAAGCUUUUGUGGUUUUGGAUGGACUCGCGGCCUAUCAGCUUGUUGGUGGGGUAAUGGCCUACCAAGGCGACGACGGGUAGCCGGCCUGAGAGGGUGACCGGCCACACUGGGACUGAGACACGGCCCAGACUCCUACGGGAGGCAGCAGUGGGGAAUAUUGCACAAUGGGCGCAAGCCUGAUGCAGCGACGCCGCGUGAGGGAUGACGGCCUUCGGGUUGUAAACCUCUUUCAGUAGGGAAGAAGCGAAAGUGACGGUACCUGCAGAAGAGGCCGG
RNAcentral lists this ribosomal RNA (473 nucleotides) under Arthrobacter sp. Its description in RNAcentral is "bacterial SSU rRNA". It matches the Rfam family "Bacterial small subunit ribosomal RNA", at positions 1 to 494 of the family's 1533-position model. Lineage: Bacteria; Bacillati; Actinomycetota; Actinomycetes; Micrococcales; Micrococcaceae. The record is from RNAcentral.